RNAcentral lists this ribosomal RNA (251 nucleotides) under uncultured bacterium. RNAcentral describes it as "partial 16S ribosomal RNA". It matches the Rfam family "Bacterial small subunit ribosomal RNA", at positions 524 to 776 of the family's 1533-position model. The record is from RNAcentral.
UACGGAGGAUGCGAGCGUUAUCCGGAUUUAUUGGGUUUAAAGGGUGCGUAGGCGGACGCUUAAGUCAGCGGUAAAAUUGCGGGGCUCAACCUCGUCGAGCCGUUGAAACUGGGUGCUUGAGUGGGCGAGAAGUACGCGGAAUGCGUGGUGUAGCGGUGAAAUGCAUAGAUAUCACGCAGAACUCCGAUUGCGAAGGCAGCGUACCGGCGCCCUACUGACGCUGAAGCACGAAGGCGUGGGUAUCGAACAGG